AGCGUAGGCGGGAAUGCAAGUUGAAUGUUAAAUCUAUCGGCUCAACCGGUAGCUGCGUUCAAAACUGCAUUUCUUGAGUGAAGUAGAGGUUGGCGGAAUUCCUAGUGUAGCGGUGAAAUGCGUAGAUAUUAGGAGGAACACCAGUGGCGAAGGCGGCCAACUGGGCUUUUACUGACGCUGAGGCUCGAAAGCGUGGGGAGCAAACA
This 206-nucleotide ribosomal RNA is filed under the name uncultured Eubacteriales bacterium. RNAcentral's name for it is "uncultured Clostridiales bacterium partial 16S ribosomal RNA". It matches the Rfam family "Bacterial small subunit ribosomal RNA", at positions 568 to 774 of the family's 1533-position model. The record is from RNAcentral. Lineage: Bacteria; Bacillati; Bacillota; Clostridia; Eubacteriales.